Non-coding RNA from Xyrichtys novacula (pearly razorfish), 3973 nucleotides. The record is from the annotation of a GenBank genome assembly. NCBI's taxonomy places the organism in Eukaryota, Metazoa, Chordata, Actinopteri, Labriformes, Labridae.
UCAGCUCUGCUUUGGGGGUUUUAAGUUUCAUAAAGUAAAAUAAAACAAAACUGAAGUUUUCUUUAAAGUUAAAAAAACAAAAAUGAAGUCUGUCCGGAGUCAUAUCUCUGCCUGGAUGAGCAUCAAUGUCUUGAAUCUAUUCUCUAUGCAGAGGCAUGCUGACAAAACUAAUGGAAACCAGUAUCAGUUUCUUCUCUAAGAAAUACACUUCCCAGUCUCCAGUGGAUCCCCGGGCUUAGGCUGCUUGAGGUUGUCGGCCUUUAGAGUCCAGUAACUCUCUCUCAUACGAGUGGACUGACUGAGUCUAAAGCAGCAAUAAAACAAUAUUUCAUUUUCUCGCCUUGUUCGCCGUAUUGCUUUUUAUAUGAGAAUGGCAGUAUGGUAAGAAAAGGUACACUAAAGCCAUAAAUUGACAGCAGUCUGUUGGGACCCCCUUUUGCACUAGUGCUUCAGAUGAUAAUUAUGUUUUGUGGAGCGAUCUCUGCUCUCUGCUCUCUGUGUUAUUUUGCUGUUUCAGAGAGAUGAUGGAAAAUGCAAAUGAUUAGCAGAGUGGGAGACUAAAAGUUGUGUGAGAAAGUGAGUGUGACAGGCGGAGAGAGUGAGUCAUUCGAAAGGUCAUCUCUGUGUAAGCUCUCAGCGUGUUUUCUGAAUUAUUCUGAUCGGUGUUUUGCAUAAACGUGUCUUCAGCUGUAUCUGACGGGGUUUAAAGGUGAGUGCUGGCUCGAUUUGUUGGAGAAGUUUGGAGUUCACACGAUAUUUGGAGCAACUUAUUGGAAUAAAAGUGAGGUGUUAAGGUUUUUAAAUGAUGUAUGUGGCAGCUCAGGUGGUACGUUUUCUGCGAGGGCUGUUAGUGAACAAGAGGGAGUGCAGCAGAAGUAGCUGCACCUCUGUUAUCACCUUGUUGUCUAAUCAACAUUCAUUGUGUUUCAAGUCAGCAGUGGGUCACAGCAAGACCUCGAACAUGGAGAGGAACCCUGUAGAGAUUCUCAGCUGCCGAACAGUGCAGCUUCUGUUUCUAAACCCUGUUUUACCGCAGAAGCACUCCCCCUUAAUAAAUCCAGCCUUCUAUAUUUUUGGAAAGAAAAGCAAAAAGCCUGCAGCUUUGUAGCAGAGUAAUUGCACCGAGACGUUUUAAGAGCUUCUUCCUUUUGCCAAGGCUGGUUGUGUUUUAUUUCUUCAAAUUAUAAGGCAAUUUUGUUGUUUUCAUCCGAGGAAUAUUGCUCUUUAUGUGCAUGCUGCCGUGUUUGAAGGGAAGGAGACUCAGUAAACAGGAGAAACAGUUUCUCAGCCAGCCUACUGAGGCGCUUUUUGACUUAUUUAUGCGUAACAUUAAUGUCUAAACAUUGAUCAGAAUCUAGAUAACCCACGGACUCAUUGACCUGUCAAGCUAGCCGCCCAGCUGACCGCGAUAGAUGAUCCAUCGACGUCAGGGGUCAGAUGCUGAGAUUGAAGUCAUAUGGAGACACAGUGGCAGGAUGACUUUAACUUAUCAUUAUGUCUCACUUUUAUUGAACAAAACAUUAUGGAGGAUUAUAUCUCCGGUUUUAAACUGGCGAUGUAGAAGGGGCUUAAAAGUCGAGUAAAUAGAAAACUAACAAAGACACGUUUUUAAGAGGUGAACUGUGACAGAAAAAUGCUUAAAGGAUAUUCCGGCGUAAAAUCAAACACACUGUAACACUGAGUUAGACACCCCGUUAGGAGAUGAAUGUUGCCGACCGCUUGCUUCUCUAGUUAAACCAACUUUAGAAACAACCACACGAUAGCAAAACACAACGGUCUGAAGAGCCAUAAACAAACCUAAACCAAAAAGCCACGAAUAAUGCUCAGAACAGCACCUAACUUCAUCAACAGCACAUAUAGGGUCCCAGCGAUAGCACUAGCCACCAAACAUCUUUUUAACUUUGCCUAAUUUCUUUAGCAAAGAGACUAAACACAACUCACCUACUCUCUUCCAGCAGAUGCUUGUUUGUAGCGAGACCUCAAGCCUCAGAGGGGAUGCAGCUCAAGGAAGAUUAUUUAUGAUCAUUUCUUUAUCAUUUCCUUGCAGUAUUGAUCAUAUUAAUCAUUUUGCUCUGUAGUUCUUCUUCCUUAGCGUCUCGGUCUGAUCGCAUUUCCAUGAAGAGAUGAUUGUACGCUGUAAUAUCCCUUUAAACUAAUAUAAACUCAAAAAAGUCUACUCCACUUCAAUUUAUUUUAAGGCUAGACUUGAUUGUACUCUAACUUUAAUAAGCCUUAAUUGAUCUAUUAAGCUAGCUUUAAACAAAUCUUAGCUAGCCAGCUCAGUUGACAGAUUGCUAACCCCAAAACACCAAACGUCAUUUAGAUGAUGGCCUUGGUAAAAUCUGCUUGGCCUGUUAUAGUCUUAAAUUAUCCCAGAAACUGUUUUUUCUUUUUAUCAAUAGGAUAUAUAUUUUGUUGUCAAUUUUUGUGUUCACAAUUUGUAAGUUUUAUAGUUGUUAUGGUGGGGUGAAGGGGGUUCGAAAACAAACAAUUAACGCUCUGUCGUACUUUUCUUUUUCAAAAUGUCUUAUUUUGAGAGUUUUGCUUUUACCAAAUUUAGUUUGUGCUGUGAUGUCCUCAAGGCAACAGCUUUUCACCUUCCAUUUUUCUACUUACCUUACAGAAAUGACCUUUCCAACAUAUUUUCAAUAAAUAAAACAAAACAAAAAACAGAGCUAGGUACUAGUCCUUCAUUUAUACAUGGUUAUUCUGAAAUAAAUCAUGAUAUAGUUUAAAAACUCAUUACACUUUUUCUUCCCCAAACUCCCAUAGCUAUUUGUUGUCCACUGAACACACUAAUAAUAGCACGGCGUAAAAUAUGAAGAAAAUACCCCAGUGUCCUUUUUAUUUCCCACAUUGUUGCCUCCUUGUUCCUUUUUCGUAUUACACUUCUUGUUUUUGUGUCGACGUGUAUUAGUUGAUACUUUAUGCUUAAUAAAAAUGACAUAGUGCAGUCUGAUGUCCUCAAAUGUACAAAGUUUGCAGUUCAGGAAGUACAUGAACCAUUUUUGCUCUUUAUUUUGAGCUCCCACACUGAUUUUCAUUGAAUGAAUAAACCAUAAAUAAAUGAUCCACAUAAGAAGAUGCCUCAAGCUUUGGUUACAUCUCUUACCAAUCCCUCCUGCCUCACAGAAACCUCCAUAAAGAAGAAAUGUAUCGAUGGUUGUCAGCUGAUUUGAUCAAUGUUGGCUUGCCACUUCUUAAAUUCAUUAACCGCAUGGCGAAUGGUCUUUCAGAUGCAAUCUAGCCUCAAAUAACAGUGAGCCACCCUGACAGGCUUUGUCAUCGAUCUGUCGCAGCUCUACGGCUCUGCCGGCAGAGAUCAGACCCACAACUAAACCUGGAGACACCCCCCGUUUGUUUGUCAGCGCUGACUCAGACCAAGAUGGACGAGGAUGGAAGAGGAGGAUGGCGGAGAUAGAGCCGGACUGAGGAGGAAAAGCCGUGGUUUAUGUUUGAUAUUUGCACAGAGUUACCGUGGGUGGAGAGUGGAGGGGAGAGAGACGGGAAAACAGAGACAGACAAACACACAUGGACAGAUGGAGACUUAGAGAGAGGCUGACAGAGGGAGAGAGAGAUAAAAUAAGGAAACUGACAGAUGUACAGACAAACAAAGUGUGGGAGAGUGGGGUGGGUGGUUGAGUCAUCGAUGGCCCUGAAGUAUUGACCAUAUUUACACUGUGGCCUUUUUCUCUUGACACCGUGCUCAGGGUUAGACGCUAAAAUGUUGUUUGACUGUAAGCAGCUGAAAAACGAGGAAAAGUGAAACAGUGGAGGGAGUUUACUGUAAAAAGAGAUCACAAUGUUGUUUUUAGUGAGUUGUUGAAAACAUAUUAAAGGGAUAUUCCGGCGUAACAUUAAUUUUGGGUCAAACACACCGUAACACCGAGUUAGACACCCCCUCGAGAGAUGACUGCUGCCGACUGCUCGCUUCUCUAGUUUACACAGGAGCCACACCUCAACCAAAACGCCA